RNAcentral lists this ribosomal RNA (433 nucleotides) under uncultured bacterium. RNAcentral describes it as "partial 16S ribosomal RNA". It matches the Rfam family "Bacterial small subunit ribosomal RNA", at positions 28 to 507 of the family's 1533-position model. The record is from RNAcentral.
GACGAACGCUGGCGGCAUGCCUAACACAUGCAAGUCGAACGAGACCUUCGGGUCUAGUGGCGCACGGGUGCGUAACGCGUGGGAACCUGCCCUUAGGUUCGGAAUAACUCCCCGAAAGGGGUGCUAAUACCGGAUAAUGUCUUCGGACCAAAGAUUUAUCGCCUUUGGAUGGGCCCGCGUUGGAUUAGCUAGUUGGUAGGGUAAAAGCCUACCAAGGCGACGAUCCAUAGCUGGUCUGAGAGGAUGAUCAGCCACACUGGGACUGAGACACGGCCCAGACUCCUACGGGAAGCAGCAGUGGGGAAUAUUGGACAAUGGGCGAAAGCCUGAUCCAGCAAUGCCGCGUGAGUGAUGAAGGACUUAGGGUUGUAAAGCUCUUUUACCCGGGAUGAUAAUGACAGUACCGGGAGAAUAAGCUCCGGCUAACUCCGUG